This 506-nucleotide ribosomal RNA is filed under the name uncultured bacterium. RNAcentral describes it as "partial 16S ribosomal RNA". It matches the Rfam family "Bacterial small subunit ribosomal RNA", at positions 29 to 523 of the family's 1533-position model. The record is from RNAcentral.
AGUGAACGCUGGCGGUAGGCCUAACACAUGCAAGUCGAACGGCAGCACAGGAGAGCUUGCUCUCUGGGUGGCGAGUGGCGGACGGGUGAGGAAUACAUCGGAAUCUACUCUGUCGUGGGGGAUAACGUAGGGAAACUUACGCUAAUACCGCAUACGACCUACGGGUGAAAGCAGGGGACCUUCGGGCCUUGCGCGAUUGAAUGAGCCGAUGUCGGAUUAGCUAGUCGGCGGGGUAAGGGCCCACCAAGGCGACGAUCCGUAGCUGGUCUGAGAGGAUGAUCAGCCACACUGGAACUGAGACACGGUCCAGACUCCUACGGGAGGCAGCAGUGGGGAAUAUUGGACAAUGUGCGCAAGCCUGAUCCAGCCAUACCGCGUGGGUGAAGAAGGCCUUCGGGUUGUAAAGCCCUUUUGUUGGGAAAGAAAUCCAGCUGGCUAAUACCCGGUUGGGAUGACGGUACCCAAAGAAUAAGCACCGGCUAACUUCGUGCCAGCCGCCGCAGUAA